RNAcentral lists this long non-coding RNA (930 nucleotides) under Piliocolobus tephrosceles (Ugandan red Colobus). Its description in RNAcentral is "lncRNA (ENSPTEG00000013817.1)". Lineage: Eukaryota; Metazoa; Chordata; Mammalia; Primates; Cercopithecidae. The record is from RNAcentral.
AUAUAUAUACAUAAAUAUAUAUAUAUAUAUGCAUACCUGAAUCCUAUCCAUUUAAUUUUCCUUCUCACGUCUUUUCUCUAUCAAGGAUUCAUAAUUUUUUUUUAAUACAAUGAAAAAAGUGAACGCACACAUAGAUCAUACAUUAUAUAAACGAUAUAAGCAGGAACUGUUAGCAAAACAAAAAUACAUAUAUGAAGGUAAUUAUGAAAAAUUAUUUUAAAUAAAUAAAUAAAUAUACUUUAACAUUUUUUUUUUUUUCUAUUCUUUUGUGUUCUUGUUUUUAUUUUAGCAUUUCAGGACCAUUUUUACAUAACCUCAAUGUUCUCACAAUUUAAAAGUAGUGAAGAUAAUGAAGAAAUGUCUUUGAAAAAGAAGUUAUUUGGUAUGAUGCUUCUAGUUCAUUUUUAUUUUUUUAUAAAUGAUCAAAAAACAUUAAAUAUACUAUAUAAAACAUGUAAAAUGUUUAAACGAGACAAUAUUAGUUUUGCUCGUCAUCACCACAUAUUAAAAAUAUUAACAUUAAAAAUAAAGCCUGAUUUAUUUGAAAACCUAUUUUUCGAACUUAAAACUCAAAAAAAAAGUAAUAAUGUUAUAGAAGAGACACUGGAUAAAAAUAAAGUUACAAGUAAUAAUAAACAUAUAUUAAAUAUGUUCAAAAAUUAUAAUAAAACAUUAUUUAAUGAAUUUAGUAUAAGUAAUCGAAAGUAUAGCAUGGCUAUUCAAUUAGCUGGUAAAUAUAAGGAAUAUAUUAAUUGUUAUGAUUAUUUAAAUAACAAGCUAAGAGUAUAUACAUUAACAUAUGAUUUAUUUUUGUAAUGGUUAUGAAAUAUAAAAUGUGCUUAUAAAUUAAUAAUUUACAAACGCAUGUCAUAUUUAUACACAUACAACGUGGUAAAUAAAAUAAUAAAAUUGAAGUAAAAAAAAAAAAUA